RNAcentral lists this ribosomal RNA (406 nucleotides) under uncultured bacterium. RNAcentral's name for it is "partial 16S ribosomal RNA". It matches the Rfam family "Bacterial small subunit ribosomal RNA", at positions 29 to 526 of the family's 1533-position model. The record is from RNAcentral.
AUUGAACGCUGGCGGCAGGCUUAACACAUGCAAGUCGAGCGAGCGGCGGACGGGUGAGUAAUGACUGGGAAACUGCCUGAUGGAGGGGGAUAACUACUGGAAACGGUAGCUAAUACCGCAUACCAUCAGAUGUGCCCAGAUGGGAUUAGCUUGUAGGUGGGGUAAGGGCUCACCAAGGAGCCGAUCCCUAGCUGGUCUGAGAGGAUGACAAGCCACACUGGAACUGAGACACGGGCCAGACUCCGACGGGAGGCAGCAGUGGAGAACAUGGCACAAUGGGCGCAAGCCGGAUGCAGCCAUGCCGCGUGUAUGAAGAAGGCCUUCGGGUUGUAAAGCACUGUAAGCGCGGAGGCGUUACUAGCAGAAUAAGCACCGGCUAACGCCGGGCCAGCAGCCGCGGUAAUUC